CAUAUCAUGUUAAAAGACCUGUUCUCGUACGAUCACCAAAGUUAAACAACGUAGAAACUGAUCAGUACUUGGAUGGGUGACCGAUUAGGAAUAAUAGGUACUGUAAG
Molecule: non-coding RNA, 107 nt
Organism: Acanthosepion pharaonis
Lineage: Eukaryota; Metazoa; Mollusca; Cephalopoda; Sepiida; Sepiidae
Source: the annotation of a GenBank genome assembly